CCCUGGUUAGUUCAGUUGGUAGAGCGCUCCACUGGAAAUGGAGAGGUCCGGGAUUCGGUUCCGGACCAGGCG
Non-coding RNA from Ixodes scapularis (black-legged tick), 72 nucleotides. NCBI's taxonomy places the organism in Eukaryota, Metazoa, Arthropoda, Arachnida, Ixodida, Ixodidae. The record is from Rfam.